GAUGAACGCUGGCGGCGUGCCUAAUACAUGCAAGUCGAGCGAACGGACGAGAAGCUUGCUUCUCUGAUGUUAGCGGCGGACGGGUGAGUAACACGUGGAUAACCUACCUAUAAGACUGGGAUAACUUCGGGAAACCGGAGCUAAUACCGGAUAAUAUUUUGAACCGCAUGGUUCAAAAGUGAAAGACGGUCUUGCUGUCACUUAUAGAUGGAUCCGCGCUGCAUUAGCUAGUUGGUAAGGUAACGGCUUACCAAGGCAACGAUGCAUAGCCGACCUGAGAGGCUGGUGGGCCAACGGGGAACUGGACACCGGGCCAAACCCCAAAGGGGGGCGGAGGGAGGAAAUUUUCGGAAAAGGGCAAAAGCCGGCCGGGGCAACGCCGGAGGGGUGAAGAAGGUCUUGGAAUCGUAAAACUUUGUUAUUAGGGAAGAACUUAUGUGUAAGUAACUGUGCAAAUCUUGAGGGUACCUAUUAAGAAAGCCCCGGCAAACACGGU
RNAcentral lists this ribosomal RNA (496 nucleotides) under uncultured bacterium. Its description in RNAcentral is "partial 16S ribosomal RNA". It matches the Rfam family "Bacterial small subunit ribosomal RNA", at positions 28 to 506 of the family's 1533-position model. The record is from RNAcentral.